AGUAACAGUUAGAAAUGACUGCUAAUAACCGCAUAAGCGCACAGUGCCGCAUGGCGAGUGUGUGAAAAACUACCGGUGGUGUGAGAUGGAUCCGCGUCUGAUUAGCCAGUUGGCGGGGUAACGGCCCACCAAGGCGACGAUCAGUAGCCGGUCUGAGAGGAUGAACGGCCACACUGGAACUGAGACACGGUCCAGACUCCUACGGGAGGCAGCAUG
Molecule: ribosomal RNA, 216 nt
Filed under: uncultured bacterium
Lineage: Bacteria
Description: partial 16S ribosomal RNA
Rfam family: Bacterial small subunit ribosomal RNA
Source: RNAcentral